UGGGCGCCUCCGGAAGCUCUUCAGCCCCUAAACCCCCCACACACAAAAGGUUGACCUCGGAUCAGGUAGGAAUACCCGCUGAACUUAAGCAUAUCAAUAAGCGGAGG
RNAcentral lists this ribosomal RNA (107 nucleotides) under uncultured fungus. RNAcentral describes it as "partial 28S ribosomal RNA". The stretch from base 52 to 107 matches the Rfam family "Eukaryotic large subunit ribosomal RNA", at positions 1 to 56 of the family's 3401-position model. The record is from RNAcentral. Lineage: Eukaryota; Fungi.